This 73-nucleotide transfer RNA is filed under the name Roseburia sp. MSJ-14. Its description in RNAcentral is "tRNA-Ala". It matches the Rfam family "tRNA". Rfam says of the family: Transfer RNA (tRNA) molecules are approximately 80 nucleotides in length. Their secondary structure includes four short double-helical elements and three loops (D, anti-codon, and T loops). Lineage: Bacteria; Bacillati; Bacillota; Clostridia; Lachnospirales; Lachnospiraceae. The record is from RNAcentral.
GGGGGCGUAGCUCAGUUGGGAGAGCACCUGCCUUGCAAGCAGGGGGUCAAGAGUUCGAAUCUCAUCGUCUCCA